Molecule: ribosomal RNA, 492 nt
Filed under: Triticum aestivum (bread wheat)
Lineage: Eukaryota; Viridiplantae; Streptophyta; Magnoliopsida; Poales; Poaceae
Description: partial small subunit ribosomal RNA
Source: RNAcentral
AUGGCCGGCGGCGGGGCGGAAGAGCCGCAGAUCCGCGAGGAGCUGGACGCCCUCGAGCACCGGCGCCAGUCUCCACCUCGUCUGCUGCCGUCGCGGCAUGGUCCCCGGGAAACUGCCUCGCCGCCGAUCCCCGACGACCUAUUGCUCGACAUCUUCUGCCGCAUUUCCAGUCCAACAGAUCUCAUCCGCACCUCCGCCGCCUGCGUCACCUUCCGCUGCCUUGUCGCCGACCGCUCCUUUCUCCGGCGGUACCGCAAGCUCCACGCCCCACCCCUUCUCGGCUUCCUCGGCGACGAACGCAAAGUCUUCCACCCUGCCGACCCGCCUCACCCCUCCGCGCCGGCAGCCAGCGCCCUCGCCCUCGCCGCCGACUUCUCAUUCUCCUUCCUCCCCGCCCCUGCCCAUGACUGGGAGGUCGAGGACACCCGUGACGGUCGUGUCCUCCUCCUUGAUAGACCCCGCAUCCAGCAACUCACCGACUUGACACGCUGA